RNAcentral lists this non-coding RNA (23 nucleotides) under Mus musculus (house mouse). The record is from RNAcentral. Lineage: Eukaryota; Metazoa; Chordata; Mammalia; Rodentia; Muridae.
CUGUUUCUGUCUGUAUAUGUGCA